This 1947-nucleotide long non-coding RNA is filed under the name Homo sapiens (human). RNAcentral's name for it is "HSALNT0408562". The record is from RNAcentral. Lineage: Eukaryota; Metazoa; Chordata; Mammalia; Primates; Hominidae.
GGAGCGGCAGGCGUCGGAGGCGGGGCCGGGGCGGGGUCUGGGCCCCGGCGCGCUGGGCGGCAGAGCCGCUGAGUGGCCCAGCUCGCAGGAGGAGGAGUCGUGGAGGGCGGGCCGGGACUGCUCUCCGCGCCGCCCGUGCUCGCCCUCGGCACCUGACCCGGCGAGAGGAAGGGGCGGGUCCAGAGAACACCCGGGACUUGAACGCUGGACCCUGAGAGAGGCCUCGGAGAGGGGAGGAAGGACCGUGUGCUGUCCUGGAGCCAGUGAAACCAGACGAAAUUAAGGGAACAGCAGACGAAGGAACUGCCACCGUGCCCCAGACCCUGGUUUGCAAAUACAGUUCGACAAAGAUCUUGCCAGGAAUUGGCCUGGGAGAGUCCAAAGGACUGGGCUGGGGGUGGGGAAAUGAUUUUAGCCAGAAGACAAAUAUAGAGGUUGUACCCAGAAGGUUAAGAGGCUUAGGAAGGUUAAGAACUACGUUAACAUUUGGCUCCCAGGACCCCAGGUAAAGUGCCCUUGGAUUGAAUAGAUUUCUGAACUCCAGAAACAUUUAGAGGAAUCAAUAGAAUUAGAUUGGCAGCCAUUGUGCCAAUGGACAAGUGCUUACUGAGCCCCUUAAUCCCUUCACUGGGUAAGCAUUUGCCACACAUGUCCUCAAAAACCUACUUGUUAGCUUAAGUGGACUCCCUCAAGUUCAGAACAGGAGCAAAUAGUGUAAUCACAAGUUCCGUGUCUGAAUAAUCAUAACAAUGUUUAUAAAAAUAAGGACGACUGUUGAAAACUGCAACUGCAGCUGAACCUUAUGUGCCCAGACUUCAGAAUUCCCAUAGGCAAAAUGCCAGCAGGCCUUUGCACACUGAACACAUAGUGUUCAUAUCCUUCACUUUCCUUUCCUGCCCUCUCCUAUCUUCUCCAGAUCUGCCUGUGAAAGGACCCAAUUCUAGGACCCCCCAGGAUGGUUAGGCCCUUCCUCUGAAAGUACACUUUGCAAUUUGUUAGUCUCCUCAAGAACCCCAGCGAUCGAAACUGAUGCACACAAAUUGCAUGUGUUCAAAGGAGCAAUUUUGAAUCUAGCUUUGUUGAUCCUGGGAGAAAUCUUUGACCUGUGUUAGUGAAAGGCUAUGGUGUUUCUCAGCUGAUUAUAAUAGCGAGGUAGCUGAAUGCAAAAAAACAGUUUCAGAGAAUGGUAGAGUAUAUCCUCCAAAGGUGAUACUCGCUUCUCUAUUCUGGUGAGAGAAACAAGAGCUAAAGCAAAAUUCUACAGAGGGCUUUAUUUGGAGAGAGGUGGAUUUUAUUUAUAAUGCAUUUAAAAUUCAAAAUCUUUCUAGUUUGAACUCUUGACAUUCUGAUUAAUGCAUUUUUAUUCAACUGUUAAUUAUUCCUCGAUACACCUCGCCAUCACUUGUGUAUCCCUUUUCUACAUGUGACCUUUCCCUGGCCACAUCUGCUACUCUCUUUGAGCAUGAUGCCUCUACUGUAUUCUAUUCCAGAGCUCAUUGUUUUGUCAGUUUUUUUUCUCUCCACAAAAAAAGAUGAUCAAAUAAUUACAUAGAAUUUUUCCCUUCUCAGUCUUUGGGUAACUAAGUGUGGUUUUAUUGACGAUGAAAUACAAGAUGGGUCAUUUAAAAGCAACUUCUUGUCAUCACUUGGUAUUUUGCUAAAUCCACGGUGAGCUGGAGCUCCCGUAGUCACCUAUCACCGCGUGUAUUUUAAGGAGUCAGAUAUUCUCGAAACUGUUAAGAUCAUGAAAGACAAAGAGACUAAGGAACUGUCACAGAUUAAAGGAGACUAAAGAUACUUGACAACUGAAUGUAAUAUAUGACACUCAACCGGCUCCUGUACCAGAAAAAGGACAUUGGUUAUAUUGGUGAGGUUUGAAUAUCUGUAGAUUACCAAUACUAUUCUUGGUUAUGGUGGUUAUGUAAGAUUUAGAGAAGUUGAAUAAAG